GACGGACCAUCCAAACGUUAUUCGGAAUUACUGGGCUUAAAGGGUGCGUAGGCGGCGCGGAAAGUUGGGUGUGAAAUCCCUCGGCUUAACCGAGGAAUGGCGCUCAAAACUACCGUGCUUGAGGAAGACAGAGGUGAGCGGAACUUAGGGUGGAGCGGUGAAAUGCGUUGAUAUCCUAAGGAACACCGGUGGCGAAAGCGGCUCACUGGGUCUUUUCUGACGCUGAGGCACGAAAGCGUGGGGAGCAAACAGG
This 253-nucleotide ribosomal RNA is filed under the name uncultured bacterium. RNAcentral's name for it is "partial 16S ribosomal RNA". It matches the Rfam family "Bacterial small subunit ribosomal RNA", at positions 524 to 776 of the family's 1533-position model. The record is from RNAcentral.